AGUGUCCACUGUCUUCCCAACCUGCUUUCUCCCUAAUUCCAGAGGGGAGAGUUAAGCAUGAUUUCACUUUUAUUAAUGUUAGAGCAAGAAAGUUUCCAGAGGCCCUGUUCCCACCUCUGCAUUUAUAGAUGAGAAGUGGGGCUGAGUUAACCAAGUUACUGAAAAUAAUAAAGUAAAAUCCAAGGACCCCCAGGGCAAGGCAGUUUCUGCAUUUUACAUAGUCUUUCUCACUGUUGGUGCUUUACAAAUCUGAGGUUACCACACACUUGACUACGGAUGUGAUCAACACUAACAAGGAGACAAAUUCAAGGACAACCUGUCUUUGAGCCAGGGCAGGCCUCAGACACCCUGCCUGUGGCCCCGCCUCCACUUCAUCCUGCCCGGAAUGC
Molecule: long non-coding RNA, 389 nt
Filed under: Pan troglodytes (chimpanzee)
Lineage: Eukaryota; Metazoa; Chordata; Mammalia; Primates; Hominidae
Description: long non-coding RNA NONPTRT009172
Source: RNAcentral